Molecule: ribosomal RNA, 254 nt
Filed under: uncultured bacterium
Lineage: Bacteria
Description: partial 16S ribosomal RNA
Rfam family: Bacterial small subunit ribosomal RNA
Source: RNAcentral
UACGGGGAGGGCAAGCGUUGUUCGGAAUUACUGGGCGUAAAGGGCUCGUAGGCGGCCAACUAAGUCAGACGUGAAAUCCCUCGGCUUAACCGGGGAACUGCGUCUGAUACUGGAUGGCUUGAGUUUGGGAGAGGGAUGCGGAAUUCCAGGUGUAGCGGUGAAAUGCGUAGAUAUCUGGAGGAACACCGGUGGCGAAGGCGGCAUCCUGGACCAACACUGACGCUGAGUGAGCGAAAGCCAGGGGAGCAAACGGG